GAUAAAAAUUGAUUUUACAGUUUUUGUAACAAACCAAGAUUGAUCUUCAACAGUACCAAGAUUGAUCUUCAAUAGUACCAAGAUCGAUCUUCGUUACAACCAAGAUCAAUCUUGAGUUAAACUUUCAAUUUUUAAAACAGAAAUUCUAAAAAGGGGCAAUUAUAAUUCAAACCCCCUUCCUUAUAAUUGACAUUGCUACUUCAAUU
This 206-nucleotide long non-coding RNA is filed under the name Cicer arietinum (chickpea). RNAcentral's name for it is "long non-coding RNA (CARI_LNC002001)". The record is from RNAcentral. Lineage: Eukaryota; Viridiplantae; Streptophyta; Magnoliopsida; Fabales; Fabaceae.